RNAcentral lists this ribosomal RNA (364 nucleotides) under uncultured Bacillus sp. RNAcentral describes it as "bacterial SSU rRNA". It matches the Rfam family "Bacterial small subunit ribosomal RNA", at positions 1019 to 1382 of the family's 1533-position model. The record is from RNAcentral. Lineage: Bacteria; Bacillati; Bacillota; Bacilli; Caryophanales; Bacillaceae.
UCGGGUGACAGGGAGACAGGUGGUGCAUGGUUGUCGUCAGCUCGUGUCGUGAGAUGUUGGGUUAAGUCCCGCAACGAGCGCAACCCCUACGUUUAGUUGCUAACGCGUGAAGGCGAGCACUCUAGACGAACUGCCGUUGACAAAACGGAGGAAGGUGGGAUGACGUCAAUCAUCAUGCCCCUUAUGUUCUGGGCUACACACGUGCUACAAUGGCCGGUACAGACGGACGCAAAGCCGCGAGGUGGAGCAAAUCCUAAAAGCCGGUCUCAGUUCGGAUUGCAGGCUGCAAUUCGCCUGCAUGAAGUCGGAAUCGCUAGUAAUCGCAGGUCAGCAUACUGCGGUGAAUUACCGGUUCCCGGGCCUU